AGACUCCUGUCCUGAUCACGGAGACCCCGUUGUGUCACCCAGAUUUGACAUUACCUUGCAUGUGUGUGAACCAGAACAGCACCUCCCACGUAGGAAGCUCGUGAUUUCCAGAUCUCUGCAAAUGGCUUUCUUGCCAAGAAGAGAAGAAGCCACAUUCCAGUGGAAAUCAGGCCUCUAAUCCAAGCAUAUUGCUUGCUAUUAAUUGCCAAAACAGGACUGCUAAUGAGGAAUGUAUUUGCAUAUGUGUGCAAAAGCUGAAUCAUUGAAAAUGUUCCUUGAAACUCUCUUUGGACAUUCCCAGCUAGAGAGCGAAGAGUGUGAAAAGUAGUCUGGUUUUUGAAACUUAGGUAUUUCAUAUUUUUCCCCUCAAGAACUUUUUUAAAGAAAUGGAUUUGCCAUCCUCCUUAAUUUUCAGGACUGCCUUGGUGGCUUUGUUUGCUGAGACAAGGCCCACAACCUGUGCCUCGCCUGUUAACCCUUACUUUGAAUUCAAAGAAUCUAUUUAAGAAUCUAAUAUAUGAGACUUUCUUUGAUUUCUCCUCAUUCUACUCAGCUUAACAGAGAUAAAGAAAUUAUUUGAAUAAACUGAACAGAGGCUC
RNAcentral lists this long non-coding RNA (599 nucleotides) under Heterocephalus glaber (naked mole-rat). Its description in RNAcentral is "lncRNA (ENSHGLG00100046721.1)". Lineage: Eukaryota; Metazoa; Chordata; Mammalia; Rodentia; Bathyergidae. The record is from RNAcentral.